This 346-nucleotide unclassified non-coding RNA is filed under the name Athalia rosae (coleseed sawfly). RNAcentral describes it as "misc RNA ENSAEAG00005011718.1". Lineage: Eukaryota; Metazoa; Arthropoda; Insecta; Hymenoptera; Athaliidae. The record is from RNAcentral.
CAACGAUCGAGAUGGGAAUUUAAGAGCAUCGAAGAAUAUCCAGUAUACGUAUAUGUGUAUAUGUAUAUCAUAGCUUUACCAAUUUUUCUGCGGACCAAUACCUACUGUGAUACCAAAAUUAUUGAAUCAACGUCGUUCAAGUCUACCGAACAUUGGAAAAAAGUGGGAUCAAGAUCUGACGGUUAAAUAUACGACUCGAACGAGCCGGAUGAACGAUCCGAAUUGCUGAAUUUUGCACAUUUGAUUCUGACAAAUUGACACCAUCUGAGAAUUCAAAUAUAAAAUAGCCGUCUGAAGAGAAGACGAGCGUUGCGAGAGAAAAAAAUGUCGACAAAUGAGACCUGCA